AGUCUUAUAGUCAAAGUAUGAUUUUAGAUUGCAAAUCUAAAGGUAAAGAUAUCCUUUUAAGGCUU
RNAcentral lists this transfer RNA (65 nucleotides) under Protohermes hainanensis. Its description in RNAcentral is "tRNA-Cys". It matches the Rfam family "tRNA". From Rfam's summary of the family: Transfer RNA (tRNA) molecules are approximately 80 nucleotides in length. Their secondary structure includes four short double-helical elements and three loops (D, anti-codon, and T loops). The record is from RNAcentral. Lineage: Eukaryota; Metazoa; Arthropoda; Insecta; Megaloptera; Corydalidae.